RNAcentral lists this ribosomal RNA (254 nucleotides) under uncultured bacterium. RNAcentral describes it as "partial 16S ribosomal RNA". It matches the Rfam family "Bacterial small subunit ribosomal RNA", at positions 524 to 776 of the family's 1533-position model. The record is from RNAcentral.
AACGUAGGUACCGAGCGUUAUCCGGAUUUACUGGGCGUAAAGCGCGUUCAGGCGGUUUGGCAAGUCGGGCAUGAAAUCUCUCGGCUCAACCGGGAGAGGUUGUCCGAUACUUCCAGACUUGAGGGCAGUAGAGGGUGGUGGAAUUCCGGGUGUAGUGGUGAAAUGCGUAGAGAUCGGCAGGAACACCAGUGGCGAAGGCGACUACCUGGCCUGUUUCUUGACGCUGAGGCGCGAAAGCUAGGGGAGCAAACGGG